GAGGCCUUUCGGAAGCUCGUUGGCUUCGGGUUCCAUCGGAACUCCGAAGUUAAGUGAGUUCGCGUGAGAGUAUACCCAGGAUGGGUGACCUACUGGGAAGUUAUCGUGUGAGUUCC
This 116-nucleotide ribosomal RNA is filed under the name Malus domestica (apple). The record is from RNAcentral. Lineage: Eukaryota; Viridiplantae; Streptophyta; Magnoliopsida; Rosales; Rosaceae.